This 535-nucleotide ribosomal RNA is filed under the name uncultured Glomeromycotina. Its description in RNAcentral is "SSU rRNA". It matches the Rfam family "Eukaryotic small subunit ribosomal RNA", at positions 569 to 1108 of the family's 1831-position model. Lineage: Eukaryota; Fungi; Glomeromycota. The record is from RNAcentral.
AGCAGCCGCGGUAAUUCCAGCUCCAAUAGCGUAUAUUAAAGUUGUUGCAGUUAAAAGCUCGUAGUUGAAUUUCGGGAUUAAUUUAUUGGUCGUGCUAUUGUACGUACUGGUAUUAUUGAUUCCUACCUUCUGACGAACCACGAUGUCAUUAAUUUGGUGUCAUGGGGAAUCAGGACUGUUACUUUGAAAAAUUAGAGUGUUUAAAGCAGGCUCACGCUUGAAUACAUUAGCAUGGAAUAAUAGAAUAGGACGUGCGGUCCUAUUUUGUUGGUUUCUAGGACCGCCGUAAUGAUUAAUAGGGACAGUCGGGGGCAUCAGUAUUCAAUUGUCAGAGGUGAAAUUCUUGGAUUUAUUGAAGACUAACUACUGCGAAAGCAUUUGCCAAGGAUGUUUUCAUUAAUCAAGAACGAAAGUUAGGGGAUCGAAGACGAUCAGAUACCGUCGUAGUCUUAACCAUAAACUAUGCCGACUAGGAAUCAGACGAUGUUAAUUUUUUAAUGACUCGUUUGGCACCUUACGGGAAACCAAAGUGUUU